RNAcentral lists this ribosomal RNA (254 nucleotides) under uncultured bacterium. Its description in RNAcentral is "partial 16S ribosomal RNA". It matches the Rfam family "Bacterial small subunit ribosomal RNA", at positions 524 to 778 of the family's 1533-position model. The record is from RNAcentral.
UACAGAGGGUGCAAGCGUUAAUCGGAAUUACUGGGCGUAAAGCGUGCGUAGACGGUUACAUAAGUCGGGUGUGAAAGCCCCGGGCUCAACCUGGGAAUUGCAUUCGAGACUGCGUAGCUAGGGUGCGGAAGAGGGAAGCGGAAUUCCGGUGUAGCGGUGAAAUGCGUAGAUAUCGGAAGGAACACCAGUGGCGAAAGCGGCUUCCUGGUCCAGCACCGGACGUCAGGCACGAAAGCGUGGGGAGCAAACAGGAU